UUGAGAUCUUUAAUUGUGGACGUUAUUCCCACACAAGCCACUCUUAGGUCUAAAUCUUCUAUUUUCUACCUCCCAAUCCUACCCAUUCACUCUUAUCACAGCCCUUGGUGGUUAAAUGCUCCCAGGCCUGGGAAGGUCUCUGUCUUUCCCAGAUUUGACUCCACUCUUGCUCCAUUGAAUCUUCUCCUUGUGCAGGAGAUGUUGCUCAAACACACAAGACCCUGAAUUUCUCCCUUUCCUAAACAUGGGCUGAAACAUCAUUAGAUUUGGGGGUUUCAUUUAAUUCCUAUCAGCAGCACUUUUUCUAUGCCUUUAGUUUUGCCCAGCCUGGUGCCGAUGGUUGUUUUCGUGCUCACCCAGACUGCCCUUCCACUCCAGCAUCCAUAGUUACCUCUGCUGGUUCCGACGCAAGUUGCUCCUCCAGCUGAGGUGGGAUGCAAGCAAGAACUUGGACACUUCCAAGUCAGGAAUUGGAAACCCAGAGGCAGAUGCAACAUGGGCAGCACAAGCGUCCUCAAACUGCCCUGCCAACGUGCUUCAAUUCUGAAUGAGGAGGACCAGCUUUCCGGGUGAGAACGAAGGCUGUCUCUAUUCAGCCCCCGACCCCUCUGCUCAAGGCUCUUAAUGAAGGGGCCUCAUUAACACCAAAGAUAAAUCACUCCGCCUUGAAAAGUUUCCAGCCUGCGAGCCAAGCCCUGCAAUGUAAAUCUGUAACAGCAGGAGGCAACUCGGCACAGCAGAACAGGGACCCAAAAAGCCUGUGGACCCUGGAGUGAUGUUACCUUGUUCUGGCUGCAUUGCAGGGAGGAAACCACAGCCACUCUGCCAGCCACUUCAGAGGACCCAGCCCCAUGACAUGUCAUGCAGCAAGGCCUGGAGAGCAAGAGUGUGUCUCUGCCACCAGCCUUUCAGCAAGCAGAGGAGGCUCCAGGUUGCACAUGGCCAUUGGAGCAGAGCUGGGUGGGAAGUGGCAGGACUGAGGUGAUGGCCUGUAGUGUGAUGUGCAAAGCCAUCUGGCCUGGAGGGGG
This is a long non-coding RNA of Pezoporus occidentalis (night parrot), 1028 nucleotides long. RefSeq lists it as uncharacterized. Lineage: Eukaryota; Metazoa; Chordata; Aves; Psittaciformes; Psittacidae. The transcript is spliced from 5 exons. The record is from RefSeq and is a predicted model, not a curated record.